CCGGUUGAUCCUGCCGGAGGUUACUGCUAUCGGUGUUCGAUUAAGCCAUGCGAGUCAAAUGUUCUUCGUGAACAUGGCGUAUUGCUCAGUAACACGUGGAUAACCUGCCCUUAGGUUGGGGAUAACUCCGGGAAACUGGAGAUAAUACCCUAUAGCUCAAUUCUGCUGGAAGGCUUUUUGAGUCAAAGAUUUUUCGCCUAAGGAUGGGUCUACGGCCUAUCAGGUUGUAGUGGGUGUAACGUACCUACUAGCCUAUGACGGGUACGGGUUGUGAGAGCAAGAGCCCGGAGAUGGAUUCUGAGACAUGAAUCCAGGCCCUACGGGGCGCAGCAGGCGCGAAAACUUUACAAUGCGGGAAACCGUGAUAAGGGGACACCGAGUGCCAUCAUCAUAUGAUGGCUGUCCACAUGUGUAAACAACAUGUGUUAGCAAGGGCCGGGCAAGACCGGUGCCAGCCGCCGCGGUAACACCGGCGGCCCGAGUGGUAGCCGCUAUUAUUGGGUCUAAAGGGUCCGUAGCCGGUCGAAUCAGUCUUUUGGGAAAUCUGAUAGCUCAACUAUCAGGCUUUCAAGGGAUACUGUUCGACUUGGAACCGGGAGAGGUAAGAGGUACUACAGGGGUAGGAGUGAAAUCUUGUAAUCCUUGUGGGACCACCUGUGGCGAAGGCGUCUUACCAGAACGGGUUCGACGGUGAGGGACGAAAGCUAGGGGCACGAACCGGAUUAGAUACCCGGGUAGUCCUAGCCGUAAACGAUGCUCGCUAGGUGUCAGGUAUGGUGUGACCGUAUCUGGUGCCGUAGGGAAGCCGGGAAGCGAGCCACCUGGGAAGUACGGCCGCAAGGCUGAAACUUAAAGGAAUUGGCGGGGGAGCACAACAACGGGUGGAGCCUGCGGUUUAAUUGGAUUCAACGCCGG
Molecule: ribosomal RNA, 915 nt
Filed under: uncultured archaeon
Lineage: Archaea
Description: bacterial SSU rRNA
Rfam family: Archaeal small subunit ribosomal RNA
Source: RNAcentral